GGGCUGCUGCGUGGGUGAGAGAUCGACCGACCGACCGACACAGACACACGCUCAUACACACGGCAGGAAAGAGCGACACACACACGCCUUGCGACUCACUUGCACGAAACCGCGUCGCCUACUCGAGAGCGGUUCUUUUCUCCCUCUUUCUCCCGCAAACGGGCGGCCAAGAACACACCAUUUCUCGAGCGCAGACAGGGGCUGUCGCUGCGACUGCCGCGCGCUACAACGACAGCAAAGGUAUCCGUCCCCUUUUCUCCCUCUUCUCCACCUACCCCUACUCCGGUUCCAGACCUCCAUUUGCUGGCGGGCUUUCAUGUUUGAAGAGGCGCUCCGGCAAGCGCCGCGGGAGGAGCUCGUGGAGCACAUUCGACUCCAGCGAGAGCUGAUUCACCGUCUUCACCGGCGCGUCCUCGAGCUGGAGAGCUCCCUGGAGAGCGUGUACACGUGCUCUAACGACGGCGGGGAUGCCGCCGGUGCCGAUGGGCAGUCAGCAGCACCGUCUGAGCGGCAGCGCGCCGUCCUUUCCAGCAACCUUCGCCAUGGCCCGUCGCCUCCGAUAGUCCAACAGAGCGUACACGGAGUUUCUGGCGGCGCGCCGCCGGCAAAGGCGAGGACGUACCCCCUCGCGACGUUUUGCGAGACGCCACUGGGCUUCAGCGAACGCUGGAGCACCGAUAAUGAUGAGGCGGCGGCGGCUCCGGAGCCGCGCUGUCGACCCCCACGCCCGCACAUCGAAGAGAAGGCGCCCGUCGCCUUUGCGCGCUUGUCUUCUUCACUGCAGCGGCAAACGGGUGAGCCUGCGGCGAUGGCGACGUCCGCCAAUGGCACUGAUACUGCUCCUGAGCCGUUUUCUGCGGCUGCUAUCUCCACUGGGCUCACUUCAUCUUCGGUAGACCACCCCACGGUGUUGGAGGGGAUCAAGGAGAUCAAUUACGUGCUUGCCGCCCACCGGGCCGGUCGUCCAGCCCUGCCGCUACCGGUGGUAGAGGAACUGGAGGAUAUUCGUACGAGGCUGCUGCAGGGUUUCAAGCAGACGCACAGUAUGGGUGACAGAGACAACGGAACGGCACACGAGGCGGCGACGGCACGUCAGGCCUACGGUGCACUGCCAAGGGGCGAGGAAAUAAUGCUUAACGCGGGCCCAUCGGAUCUCUUGUUCGAGCGCCGUGCGGAUAACUUCCGCGCCGCAACUCACGUGUGCCCACGCUGGGUCUCGCCAGACUCGUCGAGGGUCGUGUACGGCACAUCACCACGUCGUCACCAGUAGCGUUGCACAGGGAGGGGAAGGAGAAGGGUCGACAAGACGCCGUUCGAGGCUGCUCAUCAGCCCACGUGCGGCUCAUGUGGCCGUCCUCCUCCCUCUCUCGCCCUGGCCACCGUUCCAAGAGGACAGAGACGCACGUCGGCUCCGGUAUGCUGCCGCCGUUAGAGGCUCUUCGUGCGCAUCCAUGUGUUUACCCUUUCAGCAAAAACGUGCAUGAAAGAAGUCGCUCGCGCUCGGGUGGGCGGAGUGCGGAUACACAACAACG
This 1532-nucleotide unclassified non-coding RNA is filed under the name Leishmania donovani. RNAcentral's name for it is "gene:LdHU3.20.0410(CDS-product:hypothetical_prote in_conserved)". Lineage: Eukaryota; Euglenozoa; Kinetoplastea; Trypanosomatida; Trypanosomatidae. The record is from RNAcentral.